RNAcentral lists this unclassified non-coding RNA (221 nucleotides) under Hevea brasiliensis (rubber tree). Lineage: Eukaryota; Viridiplantae; Streptophyta; Magnoliopsida; Malpighiales; Euphorbiaceae. The record is from RNAcentral.
GCGAGCGUAAAUCUGCAGUCAUCUCAGAUGAAUCGAGGAAGCUGACAGCGUUCCAUGAGGGCGGCCAUGCGCUGGUGGCCAUCCACACCGACGGCGCACUCCCGGUUCACAAGGCGACGAUUGUCCCCCGAGGCAUGGCUCUUGGUAUGGUUGCUCAACUACCCGAUAAGGACGAGACGAGCAUCUCAAGGAAGCAGAUGCUUGCACGGCUGGACGUCUGC